AAUUAAUUAUCCUUUUUGGGAAAUAUAUUUUGAAAAUAUAUCUAAGAGAAUUUUAUUCUCUAUUAGUUU
Molecule: transfer RNA, 69 nt
Filed under: Prosevania sp. ZJUH_2016031
Lineage: Eukaryota; Metazoa; Arthropoda; Insecta; Hymenoptera; Evaniidae
Description: tRNA-Ser
Source: RNAcentral